Molecule: ribosomal RNA, 430 nt
Filed under: bacterium
Lineage: Bacteria
Also listed under: 1 other name
Description: partial 16S ribosomal RNA
Rfam family: Bacterial small subunit ribosomal RNA
Source: RNAcentral
UGGGGAAUAUUGGACAAUGGGCGCAAGCCUGAUCCAGCCAUGCCGCGUGUGUGAAGAAGGCCUUUUGGUUGUAAAGCACUUUAAGCGAGGAGGAGGCUACUUGGAUUAAUACUCUAGGAUAGUGGACGUUACUCGCAGAAUAAGCACCGGCUAACUCUGUGCCAGCAGCCGCGGUAAUACAGAGGGUGCGAGCGUUAAUCGGAUUUACUGGGCGUAAAGCGUGCGUAGGCGGCUUCUUAAGUCGGAUGUGAAAUCCCUGAGCUUAACUUAGGAAUUGCAGUCGAUACUGGGAAGCUAGAGUAUGGGAGAGGAUGGUAGAAUUCCAGGUGUAGCGGUGAAAUGCGUAGAGAUCUGGAGGAAUACCGAUGGCGAAGGCAGCCAUCUGGCCUAAUACUGACGCUGAGGUACGAAAGCAUGGGGAGCAAACAGG